Molecule: transfer RNA, 67 nt
Filed under: Marmota monax (woodchuck)
Lineage: Eukaryota; Metazoa; Chordata; Mammalia; Rodentia; Sciuridae
Description: tRNA.Val
Source: RNAcentral
GGUUAUGGCUCAGCGGUAGAGCGCACACCUCACACGUGCAAGGCCCUGGGUUCGAUCCUCAGCACCA